ACCAUCCUUUUCUUGGGGUUGUGCCACUUUCCAAUGAGCACAUAGUGAGGGCAGUGCUGCUAACACCUAAACAACACACCCUGUAGUCCCAGCUAUUCGGGAGGCUGAGGCAGGAGAA
Molecule: small nuclear RNA, 118 nt
Organism: Callithrix jacchus (white-tufted-ear marmoset)
Lineage: Eukaryota; Metazoa; Chordata; Mammalia; Primates; Cebidae
Source: Ensembl